AAUAAUUAUGAUGAGGAUUUAUUUGUAUGUGGAUAUUGUCUAGAUGGCAAUAUCUGUAUUUAAACUCACAGUUUUACUAUUGUAAUAAUAAAGUUGUAGUUGUUUCUGUACCGUGUAUUGACAACUCAGAAUGAAAGAUGUAAACCUAUUUUGGGGGUGUCACAUCAAAUUCUCGGGUUGAUAUAUAAUAUCAUAAAUUACUAUCAAAUUACGUCAGUCAAACUUGGAAAGUCAUACAUUAUAUUACAGCUAAUCCUCAAGUGUAAA
This 267-nucleotide long non-coding RNA is filed under the name Panax ginseng (ginseng). Its description in RNAcentral is "long non-coding RNA (PGIN_LNC019208)". The record is from RNAcentral. Lineage: Eukaryota; Viridiplantae; Streptophyta; Magnoliopsida; Apiales; Araliaceae.